This 77-nucleotide transfer RNA is filed under the name Methylomirabilis oxygeniifera (SeqCode). RNAcentral's name for it is "Candidatus Methylomirabilis oxygeniifera tRNA-Arg (CCT) (tRNA-Arg-CCT-1-1)". It matches the Rfam family "tRNA". Rfam says of the family: Transfer RNA (tRNA) molecules are approximately 80 nucleotides in length. Their secondary structure includes four short double-helical elements and three loops (D, anti-codon, and T loops). Further hydrogen bonds mediate the characteristic L-shaped molecular structure. tRNAs have two regions of fundamental functional importance: the anti-codon, which is responsible for specific mRNA codon recognition, and the 3' end, to which the tRNAs corresponding amino acid is attached (by aminoacyl-tRNA synthetases). tRNAs cope with the degeneracy of the genetic code in two manners: having more than one tRNA (with a specific anti-codon) for a particular amino acid; and 'wobble' base-pairing, i.e. permitting non-standard base-pairing at the 3rd anti-codon position. RNAcentral also lists the same sequence under 6 other names. Lineage: Bacteria; Methylomirabilota (SeqCode); Methylomirabilia (SeqCode); Methylomirabilales (SeqCode); Methylomirabilaceae (SeqCode). The record is from RNAcentral.
GCGCCCGUAGCUCAGAUGGAUAGAGCAAGGGUUUCCUAAACCCUGUGUCGCAGGUUCAAGUCCUGUCGGGCGCACCA